RNAcentral lists this transfer RNA (70 nucleotides) under Ovis aries (sheep). It matches the Rfam family "tRNA". From Rfam's summary of the family: Transfer RNA (tRNA) molecules are approximately 80 nucleotides in length. Their secondary structure includes four short double-helical elements and three loops (D, anti-codon, and T loops). Further hydrogen bonds mediate the characteristic L-shaped molecular structure. tRNAs have two regions of fundamental functional importance: the anti-codon, which is responsible for specific mRNA codon recognition, and the 3' end, to which the tRNAs corresponding amino acid is attached (by aminoacyl-tRNA synthetases). tRNAs cope with the degeneracy of the genetic code in two manners: having more than one tRNA (with a specific anti-codon) for a particular amino acid; and 'wobble' base-pairing, i.e. permitting non-standard base-pairing at the 3rd anti-codon position. Lineage: Eukaryota; Metazoa; Chordata; Mammalia; Artiodactyla; Bovidae. The record is from Rfam by way of RNAcentral.
UCCUGAUGGCUCAGCAGUAAAGAAUCUGCCUGUAAUGCAGGAGGCCCAGGUUUGAUUCCUGGGUCAGGAA